This is an RNA transcript of Peromyscus leucopus (white-footed mouse), 3234 nucleotides long. It is a transcript of the gene named tubulin folding cofactor E, with no coding region annotated. The record is from RefSeq and is a predicted model, not a curated record. Lineage: Eukaryota; Metazoa; Chordata; Mammalia; Rodentia; Cricetidae. The transcript is spliced from 17 exons.
GAUGUGGGACUUCCGGUCUCUCGGCACUUCCGCCCAGAGCCGGAAGCUUCGUCGCUGAGGGACCGUGAGGGGCCCGCGGUGCUGACCCACGGGCUAAGGGCAGGUCUCCUGUUUUGGAUUCCUGUUGUCUUAUAAUGAGUGACAUUUUGCCAUUAGAUGUCGUUGGUAGAAGAGUUGAAGUUAAUGGAGAAUUUGCAACAGUGCGCUUUUGUGGUGAUGUUCCUCCUGUGGCAGGACUCUGGUUAGGAGUUGAAUGGGACAAUCCCGAGAGAGGAAAGCAUGAUGGGAGCCAUGAAGGUACUAUGUAUUUUAAAUGCAGGCACCCAACAGGAGGCUCCUUUGUUCGUCCAAACAAAGUUAAUUUUGGAGUAGACUUUCUUACUGCCCUUAAGAAGCGGUAUGUGCUAGAAGAUGGGUCUGAUGAUGAUGGAAAAUCAUGUUCCUUAAAAGUUGGAAGUAAACAAGUGCAAACUGUUGGUUUUGACAAUAUUACAAAGAAGCAGAGUCAGCUGAGAGCAUUGCAAAACAUAUCCCUGUGGAAGUGUGCUGUGAGUCAUGCUGGUGAACAAGGAAGAAUUGCUGAAGCCUGUCCCAAUAUUCGAGUUGUAAAUUUGUCCAAGAACUUGUUGUCAUCUUGGGGUGAAGUGGUUCUUAUUGCAGAGCAGCUCAACAACCUGGAGGUUCUUGAUCUCAGUGAAAAUAAACUGCAGUUUCCUUCUGACUCACCAACUCCAACUGGAAUGUUUUCUAAUCUGAAGAUUUUAGUCCUAAAUAAAAUGGGAAUAACAUGGGCUGAGGUGCUGCGUUGUGCCCCGGCAUGGCCAGUCCUCGAGGAACUUUACCUCAAGUCUAACAGUAUUUCCAUUUCAGAAAGGCCAGUGAACGUCCUGCAGAAGAUGAGGCUUCUAGACCUUUCCUCUAACCCAGCAAUUGAUGAAAGCCAGCUGUGCCUCAUAGCAUAUCUGCCCAGAUUAGAACACCUACUCAUUUCUGACAUUGGACUUUCUUCUAUACAUUUCCCGGAUGCUGGAAUUGGGUGCAAAACAUCCAUGUUCCCGUCCUUGCAGUACCUCGUAGUCAAUGACAACCAAAUAUCAGAAUGGUCAUUUAUCAAUGAGCUAGAUAAAUUACAGAGCCUACAGGCUCUGUCCUGUACUAGAAACCCCUUGACUGAAGGAGACAAAGCAGAGGAGAUCAUCAUUGCCAAGAUCGGUCAGCUGAAGACCCUGAACAGGUGUCAGAUUCUUCCAGAGGAAAGGCGUGGAGCUGAGCUUGACUACCGAAAAACCUUUGGAAAUGAAUGGAAAAAGGCUGGUGGACAUCCGGAUCCAGAUAAAAACAGGCCAAAUGCAGAGUUUCUUUCGGCCCAUCCUAGAUACGAGCUUCUCUGCUGCAAAUAUGGUGCACCUGAAGAUGAGGAACUCAAAACACAGCAGCCAUUCAUGCUCAAAAAUCAGCUACUAACACUGAAGAUAAAAUGUUCAAACCAAGCUGAACAGAAAGUAUUAGAAAAGCAGUUGCCAGCAUGACACAAAUUCUCAAGAUUAACUUGAGUCACAACUAAAUGCUGGUGGGUUAGAUUUAAAGCCAGGAGCACUUGAAGAAAUGGAAACAUAUGCAUCUGACUCCAGUAAAUAUAUUUCCCUAUUUGCCUACCAUAAGUGCUAUAAAUUCAUUGAUUUUUACAUCCGUGUUCAUUAGACAAAAGCUUACCCAUGAUACCAUAGCUCAUGGAAGGCUAGUUGCACCCAGAAGAGUAUUUUCCUUAAUAACCAUCCAUUUAGGGCCAAUUUCUCCUGGUUUUUGUUUUGUUUUGUUUUGUUUUUUAGCAAUUCAAUUUCUAUUACUGAUAUGUAAUAUAUAAUAUAUAAUGACAAAUUAACGGUGUGUAUUAACUUUUUUUCUUGUUGCUCAGAAAAAAUACUCAAGCUAAGCAAUGUAAGGACAGGUACGCUGUUCAUGGCAGGAAAGACUGGUGGGAAUGGGGCAGUGGUCACAUUAUGUCCAUACUAUGGAAGCAAAGCUAUGCUGAUAACUCAACCUUUCUCCCCCUUCCCAUCCUUAUUCAGUCUGGGACAGGACGCAGCCUACUCCUCUCUAGAUGCAGCAAGUUUGAUCAGGCACAUUCAGGGUAGUACGGCUGUCGAAUUGGGUCACAAACAGGAAAAGGCUAGUUUUAUUCUAAAAUAGAGAAGAUUUAUUAUCACAAGUUGCAUAAAAACACAGCUUUCAUAAAAAAAUGAUUUUUAUAGAAAAAUAAUUGUCUACAUUGUGAUAUUUGUGGGACACCAAACUAUUGCUGUACUUUCAGCUAAAGCUUCAGAGUAACUAAUAUCCUUAAUCAAAAUAUCCACUAUGUACCACAACCUGUCUUUGGAAAGAAGUUCCUAGUGUGUUCUGAAUAGACCAGAGCAUUUAUUUUUCUGAGUUACCUUCCCAUACCUGGUAGUCAUGUGUGUGCACAUCCUGAUGGUGACCAGAUGCUCAUGCUGGGAGAGACCUCAUCAACCACUUAAGUCUAUGCUCUCUUCUAGAGGGAAAAUAAGGCUGAGAGGUGUCCUCAAGGCCCCACUCAUGGGAUCUUCAGCAACCCAUCAGGAAGUUAUCACAAAGGCCUAUAUUUUUCCUCCUCAGUGAAAUGAUUAUUUCUGGUUACUCCGAUUGAGGAAGAAAUAGUAAAUGCUACUGAAAUGGUAUGACACCUCACUGUCAAGACCACUUGGGUCAAACAUUGGCUCCAUUUCCCAGUUUACCAAAAGAAUCAACUGGUCGAAUGACUCAAGCUUUUGUCACUUAGUGUCUUAGGUACACUGACGCUAAGAAAUGACAGAUCAUGGCUGCCUCACCUGAGCUGUUUGUACAUAGUCGUCAUUUGAGAGAAAUGGAUUUUCCUUUUCUUUGAUAGAUUCCAUGACAAUUCAAAAGGUAAAGGGACUGCUGUCACGUCUUCUCAAAGUUCCUGUGUCAGAACUUCUGUUGUCCUAUGAAAGUCCCAAGAUGCCGGGCAGAGAAAUUGAACUAGAAAAUGACCUACAGUCAUUACAGUUUUAUUCUGUGGAGAAUGGCGAUUGUCUACUAGUGCGAUGGUAACAGUCCAACCGUAAGAGUUUAGCGACUGGAAUGUUGUAUACACCAGAAACAGAAACUUCGCCCUCACAAAGGAUGUAUGUUUUGUUGGGAAAGGACCAUUUGGUUGUAUAUUAAUAGAAUAAUAAAGGCUUUGAUUACUAGUGA